GAUGAACGCUGGCGGCGUGCCUAAUACAUGCAAGUCGAGCGGACGGACGCGAAGCUUGCCUCUCUUAUGUUAGCGGCGGACGGCCGAUUAACACGUGGCUCACCACCCUAUAAGACUGGGAUAACUUCGGGACACCGUAGCUAAUACCGGAUAAUAUUUUGAACCGCAUGGUUAAAAAGUGAACGACGGUCUUGCUGUCACCUAUCGAUGGAUCCGCGCUGUAGUAGCUAGUUGGUAAGGUCACGGCUUACCAAGGCGACUAUGCAUAGCCGACCUGAGAGGGGGAUCGCCGACACGGGAGCGGAGACACGGACCAGGCUCCUACGGGAGGCAGCAGUAGGGAAUGGUCCGCAAUAGGGGAAAAUAUUACGGAACAGGGGCGCGCGUGUGACGGCGGUCUUGGGAUAGUGAAACUCGGUUAUGAGUUGAGAACAUAUGUGAAAGGAUCUGUGGAGAUAGUGACGGUACCUAAACAGGAAGCCACGGCUAACUACGUG
RNAcentral lists this ribosomal RNA (497 nucleotides) under uncultured bacterium. Its description in RNAcentral is "partial 16S ribosomal RNA". It matches the Rfam family "Bacterial small subunit ribosomal RNA", at positions 28 to 507 of the family's 1533-position model. The record is from RNAcentral.